AGAGAGGAGAGCAGCCGCGGUGCUGGCCCGUAGAGCCGUGGUUGGUGUGCGAGGCGACCGGCGAAGGGACCCUGCAUCCGCGUGGUAUGUUGGUCGGCUCGCCGAGUGGGCACUUCGAAACGGCAUGACCCUGUAGAGGUUCAUGCCACUGCCAGAACAUGUCCUUCUCCACCGCCGCUGCCAUAGGCACCGUUUUCUUGAGCUGCCACAGGCUGGAGCCUCUGCCGGUGGAGAAGGAGGCGACAUGGACUGCCUGCUCUGGGUCUACGACUACAUCGUCGAGUUCUUCCAAUACAAGGACAUCCUGCCCGACGGCUCUCAACACGUGAGGUGAGAAAUCGAAACAUUAUGCAUUCUGAUUCUGUCAAUUGAUGGCGACCAGCAGACCAGGCCGAGAUCCGAUGUCUACGUUAACCUCCGCCCUCGAUUGAGAAGCUCGACGACAUGCUGCUUGCCAAAUCUGAGUCUCUUUGUCCUUGCCAAACUAUUGAAGACGCGCAAGCUCAUGCCAACAACCGGGUGAAAAGAAAGGAAAGGAGAGAUGCGUGCUAGGAGCAGUACUAUCCGGUGAUUACGUACGUGCAUGCACGGGUCAAGCGUUCAUGUGGCUUAAUUUCAUGUUCGCGCAGGAGAUCAUGGAUGGCUUUUAGAAGACUGUCUUCUGGUACUUUCGAGACAAGAGUCACAAGAAUAGUUGCAACGACUUGGCGCCCUCACGUCCGGCAAGACACUGGGGCGAGGAGAGGUGGUGGAUGCCCGGGCCAUGCAUGACAAAGUUAAGUUGAUAAAGAUGCUAUUUUCCCCCAUUUAGUGGUGCUUGGAGAGAUAUAUGCGUGAAGAUUCUGGGCUCCAAGAGAAGCCCCCUUGGCAUUACCUUAUAUAAGUAUGCAAUUGUAUUUUGUGGCCAUCAAGCAAGUUUAGUUCUAACAAUACAAGACUCCCAUGCAUUGAAGUUUAUUUCGCCUCAUAGUUGGCCUUGUAAGAGUGUGGAGGGAGAGAAACUAUCGGCGUGUCCUUUCCGCCUCCUUCUGGACCUCCCCACUGUAGUUCCGGCU
Triticum aestivum (bread wheat) is the source of this 1055-nucleotide long non-coding RNA. RefSeq lists it as uncharacterized. The transcript is spliced from 3 exons. The record is from RefSeq and is a predicted model, not a curated record. Lineage: Eukaryota; Viridiplantae; Streptophyta; Magnoliopsida; Poales; Poaceae.